RNAcentral lists this ribosomal RNA (372 nucleotides) under uncultured bacterium. RNAcentral's name for it is "bacterial SSU rRNA". It matches the Rfam family "Bacterial small subunit ribosomal RNA", at positions 527 to 898 of the family's 1533-position model. The record is from RNAcentral.
AGAGGGUGCAAGCGUUAAUCGGAAUUACUGGGCGUAAAGCGUGCGUAGACGGUUGCGUAAGUCAGAUGUGAAAGCCCCGGGCUCAACCUGGGAAUUGCAUUUGAGACUGCGUAGCUAGGGUGCGGAAGAGGGAAGCGGAAUUUCCGGUGUAGCGGUGAAAUGCGUAGAUAUCGGAAGGAACACCAGUGGCGAAAGCGGCUUCCUGGUCCAGCACCGACGUUCAGGCACGAAAGCGUGGGGAGCAAACAGGAUUAGAUACCCUGGUAGUCCACGCCAUAAACGAUGAGGACUAGACGUUGAGAGGGUAAGCCUCCCAGUGUCGCAGCUAACGCGAUAAGUCCUCCGCCUGGGGAGUACGGCCGCAAGGUUGAA